UGAACGCUGGCGGCAAGCCUUACACAUGCAAGUCGAACGGUAACAGGUCUUCGGAUGCUGACGAGUGGCGAACGGGUGAGUAAUACAUCGGAACGUGCCCGAGAGUGGGGGAUAACGAAGCGAAAGCUUUGCUAAUACCGCAUACGAUCUCAGGAUGAAAGCAGGGGACCGCAAGGCCUUGCGCUCACGGAGCGGCCGAUGGCAGAUUAGGUAGUUGGUGGGAUAAAAGCUUACCAAGCCGACGAUCUGUAGCUGGUCUGAGAGGACGACCAGCCACACUGGGACUGAGACACGGCCCAGACUCCUACGGGAGGCAGCAGUGGGGAAUUUUGGACAAUGGGCGCAAGCCUGAUCCAGCCAUGCCGCGUGCAGGAUGAAGGCCUUCGGGUUGUAAACUGCUUUUGUACGGAACGAAAAGACUCUGGUUAAUACCUGGGGUCCAUGACGGUACCGUAAGAAUAAGCACCGGCUAACUACGUGCCAGCAGCCGCGGUAAUACGUAGGGUGCGAGCGUUAAUCGGAAUUACUGGGCGUAAAGCGUGCGCAGGCGGUUAUGUAAGACAGAUGUGAAAUCCCCGGGCUCAACCUGGGAACUGCAUUUGUGACUGCGUAGCUAGAGUACGGCAGAGGGGGAUGGAAUUCCGCGUGUAGCAGUGAAAUGCGUAGAUAUGCGGAGGAACACCGAUGGCGAAGGCAAUCCCCUGGGCCUGUACUGACGCUCAUGCACGAAAGCGU
This 735-nucleotide ribosomal RNA is filed under the name uncultured beta proteobacterium. RNAcentral describes it as "bacterial SSU rRNA". It matches the Rfam family "Bacterial small subunit ribosomal RNA", at positions 30 to 762 of the family's 1533-position model. Lineage: Bacteria; Pseudomonadati; Pseudomonadota; Betaproteobacteria. The record is from RNAcentral.